AUCUUUGGUUGGCACAUUUGGCACUGAGUCUCUCAGCAAGGUCCAAAAUCUCUUAUGUAUUUGAGUCUCUCUUUUGUUUAUUAGAUGAUGUUAUGUAGAGGUGACUUGUACUUGUACAUUGUGUGACUUCAUAGAAGACUAGAGCCCAAUGUGAGGGGUUUAAAAAAUCCUGAUGUUAUUAUUAAACUGUUAAAUUUAAUUUAAUGCUCCGC
RNAcentral lists this unclassified non-coding RNA (212 nucleotides) under Hevea brasiliensis (rubber tree). The record is from RNAcentral. Lineage: Eukaryota; Viridiplantae; Streptophyta; Magnoliopsida; Malpighiales; Euphorbiaceae.